AUGCUCAGGAAAUCACUUCAGCAGCUCAUUUGCACUAUGUCCUACACAAGCUGUUUGAAGAAACAUCCCCUGAGACUAAUCUUUCCAUAUGCCAAUUCCAUCCUCCGAGCGUCUUUGGAAAAAGGCUCCCCACAAAAGUCACUGAUGGACUAUAGCACUAUGCUCCAUUUUACCACAUUUUGCCCUGAUUACAGAACAUAUGUUCUCCUCCUCAGAGCUUGUUCAAAAUGUUCAGACAUCUAUGCUGCCAUGCAAAUUCAUUCACAUCUCACUAAAGCUGGGUUGUUAUGUAAUCAAGAUAUAAUAGCUCCACUUUUGAGGUUGUAUAUCGAUCAUGGUCGCAUGAUGGAAGCAUGUGAACUGUAUUGGCCAAUGCUUGAGUGGAGUACCGAUCCUUUCCAUGGUAAUUUGAUGCUUAUGGGAUUCUUGAAGGGAGGACAGCUAGACAAAGCAUAUCAGAUUUUCAAGAGGAUGCCUGUCAAGGACCUGGUCUCGUGGAAUUCAGUGAUUGCAGGUGCAGCAAGGAGCUCCCACCUGAAAGAUGCAAUGAAUCUUUUCAGCAGGUUGGUCAAUUCAGGCCUUGUGCCUGACGGUUUUUCAUUCUCUUCAGUCCUGUCUGCUUGUGCUCGAGCUGGUGCCCGAUGUUAUGGUAUGUGGGUUCAUCAACUGAUGGAUGAGCUGGGGGUGGAGAAGAAUCAUCUUUUAAUCUCAGCACUGGUUGAUAUGUAUGCUAAAUGUGGAAGGAUUGAUGUGUCAGUUGAGAUAUUCAACAACGUUAAGAGAAAACACCUGUCCACAUGGAACACGAUGAUUAGUAGCCUGGCAGGGCAUGGUCUUGGAUCUGAUGUGGUGAUGCUGUUCCACAGGAUGGAACUUUCAGGUGUGGUUCCUGAUGGGGUUACAUUUGUUGCACUAUUGACAGCAUGUAGCCAUUGUGGUAUGGUUGAAGAGGCUCGUCAGUACUUUGAAACGAUGUCUACAAAGUAUUCAAUCACUCCAAAGGUUGAACACUACGGCGCAAUGGUGGAUACACUGUCACGAGCUGGGCUGCUGGAUGAAGCAUACAACUUGGUGAGGUCAAUGGCCGUGAAGCCUGAUGCUGUGAUAUGGAGGGCAUUACUUAGUGCUUGUCGUAGGUACCAUCAAACCAAAUUAGGUGAUGUCACUAUUGAACAGAUAACAUGUCAGGGCAGCGGUGAUUAUACGCUUCUUUCAAAUAUCUACUCAUCAAUAAACAGGUGGGGUGAUUCAGAGGAAGUAUGGAAAGAGAUGAAGAAAAAGAAGGUACGUAAGAUCAAGGGCUUGAGUUGGGUUGAAUUAGGGGGGAGCACCCAUGAAUUCAAAGCUGGUGAUCGAUCUCAUCCUGAUUCUGAUGAUAUCUACAGAGUGCUGCAUGGCUUGUUGAAAAAAGCGAAGGCUGAAGGUUAUACCCCAUCCACUGAAUUAGUAACAAAAGAUGUAUCACAGGAGGAAAGAGAAGAAAACCUCAGCUUCCACAGUGAGAAGCUUGCAGUGGCUUAUAGUGUUCUUAAGACUGGUCCAGGGACAGAAAUAUUGGUGUCAAAGAAUCUGCAGGCAUGCGGUGACUGCCAUGAAUGGAUGAAGAUAAUUUCAAAGGCACUUUGUCGUGUUAUAAUUAUGAGGGAUAGAGUUCGAUUUCACCGCUUUGAAAGCGGGUGCUGCUCCUGUAAAGAUUACUGGAGUAAUAGAGGUGGCGUUGAAUAUUCUGUUAUCUAA
Molecule: ribosomal RNA, 1737 nt
Filed under: Triticum aestivum (bread wheat)
Lineage: Eukaryota; Viridiplantae; Streptophyta; Magnoliopsida; Poales; Poaceae
Description: partial small subunit ribosomal RNA
Source: RNAcentral